CCUUAAGCCGCAGCAGUAGCGAAACGCAGGCAUCAGUUACCAGUGGGAUCUCCCUAGGAGAAGCAAUAUGUCAGAAAACCGCCAUUAAUUCGAGAAUUGAGUCAUGGUAUCAGCUUCCAGCAGAAGUGGAUGCCAGCCAUUUAACUGCUGCCUCAGAGACGAAGCUUGGCCUGACGUGUGAUAGAAAUGACCUGACGGAGUUCCCUACGCUGGAGGAAGGAGUGUUGCCUUCAGCAGAAGUGUCUAGAAGGCAGUCUCCUGGAGAUACAGCACAUGGCUUACUGCUGGAUAUUCAGGACAGUCAAUUCUCUCCCUGUCUUCCGCUGCUGAUGUAUUCAACACGAGGCCAAAGAUUUUCAGAUGAGAUGCUUCUCCAGCAAUCAGAAAUGGAUUUUAUUCCCCUAAGAGGAGUCCCUGAUGUUUCUGGUGCGUCUGAGGAGCAUUCGAAGCCUUCGCACAUCCGUGAAGCUGUGUCACUGACACAGGCAGAAUCUCCCUCUGAUGCACCCAGUGACUGCUUUGCUUUGUCCCAGCAUCCUCUGCCUUUCAGACAUGUGGAACCUUGUGAUGCCAGUUGUAGCGGUUUUUUGUCUCAGCAAACCUCUUUUUCUGGACAACUACUUGCGAACAAGGAGGCAAAUGAAGACUGUAAAAACGAUACUAAUGAGAAGGCAUUGAUUCCCCAAACAAGUGACAGCUUAGCAAACUCCACUUCAAAGCUGAUGCUAACCGAGGCAAAUAGACUGAGCCAAAUGGAAGCUUCUCUUACAAAGCAGAGCUGUGGUACGUCUGUAAAAGACAAACUUUUCUCCCGCGACAGCAACGUACCAGUUACUGUUUUCAAGCUUUCAGAGAAAGAAAAAGGUUUACUGAGGCAUGAUGAGUUCUCAUCUUCAGAAAACUCCUCUUGUAAAACAGCACUAACUAAGAAUUCGGAGAAAAGGGAAACAGAAAUGCAAAAAGAAAAGGUAAAAAUGGCUGAGAGUGAGUCAGAAGGGUCCAUGAGGCAGCUGGAGAAGCUGGAAAAAGAAAAGGUUCCUGAGCUUGAUUUGUCUAAGAAUUUAUCUGAUGAUUUGAAGAAAGACAAUUGUAAAAAUUCAGAUGCGCAAGAUGUUUUUUCUGCAAAGACUUCUGAAACAGGUGAAGGAAUGUUGAAGGAACAUGGAGUGGAUUUAAAUGGCUCUGAAAGCUUGAAGUUUGUGGCUGUUGCUGAGGAAC
Long non-coding RNA from Pygoscelis adeliae (Adelie penguin), 1218 nucleotides. RefSeq lists it as uncharacterized. The record is from RefSeq and is a predicted model, not a curated record. NCBI's taxonomy places the organism in Eukaryota, Metazoa, Chordata, Aves, Sphenisciformes, Spheniscidae. The transcript has 4 exons.